GUCUUUCCUGGGAUCAACACUAUAUCCUGGACCCUCAAGGUCAGCAGAGCUGCCUUCAGAGUGAGGAGAGGCGACAAGCAGAAAGCUUGCAAAACCGGUGAAAUCCCAGGCGACACUGGCAGGUGGAGGACUUUCCCCAACUGCUGCGAAUUCUAGAGGGAAAGAUAAGAACAUAUUAAUCCUCUGAGAGCAAGGCUGUAGCCAACAGGUGGCAAGGCCCAUUCCUGCACAGAAGGCAGCUGCUGGGAGCGAGAAAGGAGGCCAGGAAAAGAGAGCUUCAGCUGAGAACCGGGGAUUCCAAGCACCAGGGGGAGAGGGGAAAAUUCGAUUCACCUCCAACAUUGUUCUCUAGAACAGGCCUCUCCUAGUGUAGCUACAUCCUGCAAACCUCCCCAGAAUCCAACACCUCUCCCCCAAAAAGGCAAAAAAUGCAGUGAUUUAGAUGCUUAUUUUAUGUUCUUGGAUAUCCUGCUAAAAUAAAUUCAUUGAAAGCAGAAGAGACUCAUUCGUGUUUUUGAAACCCCUACAUGAAAUGCUUAACAAGUAUUUCUACAAUGUGAUCCACUGUAAAAUGUUGGUCUAUCGAUACAGAAUCCAUUCUGGUCUUAUCUCCCUAAAGAAAGCAAUGGAAAUCUAUCGAGCCAAAAAUGAACCAAGCCAAGUGUUAAUUCUUCACAACCCCCUGGCUCCUGUAGAUUCCAGAACCUGCCAUUGACCAACUUUGACAAUUAAGCUUUCCCAGUGGAGGCUUCAAAAACACUAGUGAGUCUCUUUUGCUUUCAGUGAGUUUAUAUUUCAGCAAAAAAUCCAAGAGCACAAAAUAAGCAUCUAAAUCACUGCAUUUUUUUCUUAUUUUUUGGUGGGGAGGGCAACGUCAGAUGCGGGGGAAUUUUGCUGGAUGUAGCCUUGAUUGGCCUUGAGCCAUGGACAGUUAAGAGAACUGCAGGUAUGUAUUCAAACAGAUAUUUGAUUAAUGUUUAUUAAUUUCCCAAGUUUAAUGACACACACUCACACAUACAAAUAUACAAUGAAUACACAUGCUUUUUAUGUCCUCAAACCCUGGGAAACAGAUUGCUGUAAUGUGAUCAGUCACCCAUAGUUGCUUUGUGAACACAAACUACCACACUUCACAAGAACUCACUGAACAUAUCUAAAAGUGUCAGAACUGAGACUCACAGCUAGGAGCCUUGACUGUUUAGCCACCAGUAAAGACAGCUCAUCUCUGCCCCACACUCACCCUACCCCAUGCCAUGUCCCUGUAAGGUGCUGUGAAUCUCAGGCAAAUGUCCAUGUCAGCAGCUCUCUGUGGAGCCUGCUGUCUGUCUGAACAAGGGGUAGAAAUUCUAACCUCUUCUUCCCAACAGUCCAACCCUGUCCCUCAUCACAACUGGUAUGGGGCUGCCCCCUGGAGGUUUAAGAACGCCUGUUCCCUUAAAGGCAGGCCACAGAGGCAUUUCAAAUUUUGAAUCUGGAAGAGAUCAUCUGACCCCUCGCAUAGGAUAGAGCAGCUUCAACAUUGGGAAUCAAGUAGCACAGAUGCAAUCAUUUUCGGAGAUCCCUCCCAGCAAUGCAAGACAGUGGGAUUCAUAGUAAAUUUCUCAUCAGGGAACUUACUGCAGCUUUUGAAACUGGGAAAAAGGGCUUUAAGUUUAUCUAUUAGUAUCCGGAUUGUUCAGGAAGAUAAUUCAUGUCUUGAUGGCACUUAUUGUAUAUCUACUGCAGACAAGACAAUGAGCUUGGCAUUAUCCAUUAGUCGUUUGCUUCCUGAUCACUAUAACUAACCUGUUAAUCCCAAUAUACCUAAUUUCAGGAAAUAAAUUAUCCAAAGUAGCUGCUCAACUUUCUGGUGCUAUGAAAAUGAUUAUGUUUAAAAGCAGUAAUCCUCUGACCUCUUUAUUAUCUGGCAAAUGCAAGUAAACAGGCCAUGCUUUUUGUAUCUCUGCAUAAUCAGUUUCAGUCAACUGGUUCCCCCAAACUAUACACAGUGGAGUCAAACAGCUCAUGCUGAAUAUGGGCACUUGCUGAAUAUGUAGGAAUGAGUGUGUGAGGCUGAGAGAGUAAAUAGUGAUGAGCAUAGACCACCCUGAGUUAUCUCACUGCAUGUGAAAAUCUGUGCAAUUUGGGAAGAGCAUGUGGAAAGUCUCCUCAUUACAGGUCCCUGCUAUU
Non-coding RNA from Kogia breviceps (pygmy sperm whale), 2166 nucleotides. Lineage: Eukaryota; Metazoa; Chordata; Mammalia; Artiodactyla; Physeteridae. The record is from RefSeq and is a predicted model, not a curated record.